This 604-nucleotide ribosomal RNA is filed under the name Dilophotes sp. AUa LB-2014. RNAcentral describes it as "partial 16S ribosomal RNA". It matches the Rfam family "Bacterial large subunit ribosomal RNA", at positions 1816 to 2714 of the family's 2925-position model. The record is from RNAcentral. Lineage: Eukaryota; Metazoa; Arthropoda; Insecta; Coleoptera; Lycidae.
CAUGUCCUUUUGAUAAUGAUUUAAGGUCUAACCUGCUCGAUGAGUAAUUAAAUUGCCGCAGUAUUUUGACUGUGCAAAGGUAGCAUAAUAAUUAGUCUUUUGAUUAAGGGCUGGAAUGAAUGGUUGGACAAGAAAAUGUCUGUCUUUAAUUUAUUUUUUAUUGAAUUUUAUUUUUGAGUUAAAAAGCUUAGAUGUGUUUAAAAGACGAGAAGACCCUAUAGAGUUUUAUAAUUGGUGUUGUGCUUGAUUUUAGAAUUAAUGGUAUUUAUCAAUUAUUUAGUUGGGGUGACUUAAAGAUUGGUUUAAUUCUUUAUAAAUGUAGUUGGUGAUUAUUAAUUUUAUUAUCUGAAGGUUUUAAGUAAAGAUUAAUUACCUUAGGGAUAACAGCGUAAUUUUUCUUUGAAGUUCUUAUUUGAGGAAGAGUUUGCGACCUCGAUGUUGGAUUAAAAUAAAUUUAAGGUGUAGUGGCUUUAGUAUUUGGUCUGUUCGACCAUUAAAAUUUUACAUGAUCUGAGUUUAGACCGGCGUGAGCCAGGUUAGAUUCUAUCUUUAAGAGUUUUAAUUAUUUUAGUACGAAAGGACCGGAUAGUUGUUAUAUUAAUUG